AGCAGUCGCCGCGGUAAUACGUAGGGUGCGAGCGUUAAUCGGAAUUACUGGGCGUAAAGCGUGCGCAGGCGGUUCGUUAAGACAGAUGUGAAAUCCCCGGGCUUAACCUGGGAACUGCAUUUGUGACUGGCGAGCUAGAGUAUGGCAGAGGGGGGUAGAAUUCCACGUGUAGCAGUGAAAUGCGUAGAGAUGUGGAGGAAUACCGAUGGCGAAGGCAGCCCCCUGGGCCAAUACUGACGCUCAUGCACGAAAGCGUGGGGAGCAAACAGGAUUAGAUACCCCCGUAGUCCCUGUCUCUUAUAU
This 303-nucleotide ribosomal RNA is filed under the name uncultured bacterium. RNAcentral describes it as "partial 16S ribosomal RNA". It matches the Rfam family "Bacterial small subunit ribosomal RNA", at positions 507 to 809 of the family's 1533-position model. The record is from RNAcentral.